AAAAUACAAGUACUUUAAAAUGUUUAUUUUUUAUUAUAUUUUUUUACAUUGAACACUUCAGGAAAGAAAAUAAUUACAAUGAUUCAAAUGCAUGAAUGAUUCAAAUUCAAAAUGCAAUCCCUGGAUUCAAUAAUUAUCCUUUAUAAUUAUGCCCAAUAAAUAUUAGAAAUGUAUGUAGGCACUAAGUCAGCUAACAAAAUAAGUAAAAUAACUAUAUAAAGUAUAAAUCUCAGGACUGGGGAACAUGCAUGAUCAGUUAAGUCACUUGGCCACUGUAGGUGGUUUUUUAAAAAGCAUGAUUCACAUCUGCUUCAAUCACAUACACAUUCAUUGCAAGUGUUUUUUUUUGUUUUUCUGUUUUUUUCUGGCCACACUGCAUGGUAUGUGGGAUCUUAGUUCCCUGACCAGGGAUCAAACCCACGCCCCCUGCAUUGGAAGCAGAGUCUUAACCACUGGACCACCAGGGAAGUCCUGCAAGUGUUAAAUUAGACCAUUGAUGCUAACAACUUAAAACUAUGAUCUUAAAAGAAAAUUCAGUUUAAUACAAAGAAACUCAAGAAGAAAAUUUCAGGACCCUUGAUCAGAAGCUUUUGAUACCUGUCAUACUACUCUAGUGUACACAAAGGUUCAAGUAAGGCUGAUAAAGAAGAGUUGUUUCCUUUUCCCUUUGAAGACAUGAUCCAAGAAA
Kogia breviceps (pygmy sperm whale) is the source of this 688-nucleotide non-coding RNA. NCBI's taxonomy places the organism in Eukaryota, Metazoa, Chordata, Mammalia, Artiodactyla, Physeteridae. The record is from RefSeq and is a predicted model, not a curated record.